GCCAGACAAGCAGAGGCAACCGCAGUGUCCCCCGAGUCUCCAGGCCAGUGGACGGCUGCUCUCCUCAGCAUGUCCCUGCAUUUAGGCAAGGAAGUGUAUGAUAUCUGCAAAACCCCACUGCAGGACAAUCGAAACCACCUGUUUAUCCGGGAAGAUACUGGUCUCCGUGGUCAGGCCAUCUUUCAGUCCAGACUUACCUUUAGACCUUACUGUAGAGACAGUGCCACAUAUAAGAAGAUGACCCUUUCAUUUGGGAACAGAAGUUCAAAGACGCAGAUUAGAAUCCUCCCGAUGGCUGAUCAUGAUCCUGAGUGGCUAUGCCCAGAUCUGAUCAAGAUGCAGAGAAAAGAACUGAGGGUAUCUACUCCCCGGAAAGUCCGUCUGCGGAGGAAGAGCAGGAGGCAGAAGCGGCAGCAGCGUCCAGGUCGGAGUUCCACCUUCCAGAAGCCUAACCUUGUUGUUGAGGAAGAGGAGGAGGUGGAGGGAGAAGAUGAGGAAGGCAAGG
Molecule: long non-coding RNA, 505 nt
Filed under: Mus musculus (house mouse)
Lineage: Eukaryota; Metazoa; Chordata; Mammalia; Rodentia; Muridae
Description: predicted gene, 69070
Source: RNAcentral